GGAGAGCUGUCCGAGUGGUUGAAGGAGCACGAUUGGAAAUCGUGUAUACGUAAUAUAAGCGUAUCAUGGGUUCAAAUCCCAUGCUCUCCGCCA
RNAcentral lists this transfer RNA (93 nucleotides) under Anaerococcus tetradius. RNAcentral's name for it is "tRNA-Ser". It matches the Rfam family "tRNA". Rfam says of the family: Transfer RNA (tRNA) molecules are approximately 80 nucleotides in length. Their secondary structure includes four short double-helical elements and three loops (D, anti-codon, and T loops). Lineage: Bacteria; Bacillati; Bacillota; Tissierellia; Tissierellales; Peptoniphilaceae. RNAcentral also lists the same sequence under 1 other name. The record is from RNAcentral.